AUUGAACGCUGGCGGAAUGCUUUACACAUGCAAGUCGAACGGCAGCACGGACUUCGGUCUGGUGGCGAGUGGCGAACGGGUGAGUAACAUAUCGGAACGUAUCCAAUAAUUGGGGAUAACUAAUCGAUAGGUUGGCUAAUACCGCAUACGCCCUACGGGGGAAAGCUGGGGAUCUUCGGACCUUGCGUUAAUGGAGCGGCUGAAAUCUGAUUAGCUAGUUGGUGAGGUAAAGGCUCACCAAGGCGACGAUCAGUAGCUGGUAGGAGAGGACGACCAGCCACACUGGAACUGAGACACGGUCCAGACUCCUACGGGAGGCAGCAGUGGGGAAUUUUGGACAAUGGGCGCAAGCCUGAUCCAGCCAUUCCGCGUGAGUGAAGAAGGCCUUCGGGUUGUAAAGCUCUUUCGCAAGGGAAGAAAACUUACUUUCUAAUAAAGAGUGAGGUUGACGGUACCUUGAUAAGAAGCACCGGCUAACUACGUGCCAGCAGCCGCCGUAA
RNAcentral lists this ribosomal RNA (500 nucleotides) under uncultured bacterium. RNAcentral's name for it is "partial 16S ribosomal RNA". It matches the Rfam family "Bacterial small subunit ribosomal RNA", at positions 30 to 523 of the family's 1533-position model. The record is from RNAcentral.